UAAUGGCUCACCAAGGCGACGAUCGGUAGCUGGUCUGAGAGGAUGAUCAGCCACAUUGGGACUGAGACACGGCCCAAACUCCUACGGGAGGCAGCAGUGGGGAAUAUUGGACAAUGGGCGAAAGCCUGAUCCAGCCAUGCCGCGUGAGUGAUGACGGCCUUAGGGUUGUAAAGCUCUUUCAUCAGGGACGAUAAUGACGGUACCUGAAGAAGAAGCCCCGGCUAACUUCGUGCCAGCAGCCGCGGUAAUACGAAGGGGGCUAGCGUUGUUCGGAAUUACUGGGCGUAAAGGGUUCGUAGGCGGUGCGGCAAGUCGGAAGUGAAAUCUCUGGGCUUAACUCAGAGGCUGCUCCCGAAACUGCCGUGCUUGAGUGCGGGAGAGGCCAGUGGAAUUGCAGGUGUAGCGGUGAAAUG
This 413-nucleotide ribosomal RNA is filed under the name uncultured soil bacterium. RNAcentral's name for it is "bacterial SSU rRNA". It matches the Rfam family "Bacterial small subunit ribosomal RNA", at positions 258 to 688 of the family's 1533-position model. The record is from RNAcentral.